UAAUUUUAAACUGACGAAUUUCCCUGAAAUGAUGAACAGGUACAAGCAGCUGUUAAAUACAUCCGGAGUGCAGUUACACGAAACUACUCAGAGAAAUCCAUCAACUCCAUCUUGAUUACAUCUCUACGUCUAAGCAGAUGGACUUGCUGCAAGAGUUUU
Non-coding RNA from Salvelinus sp. IW2-2015, 159 nucleotides. NCBI's taxonomy places the organism in Eukaryota, Metazoa, Chordata, Actinopteri, Salmoniformes, Salmonidae. The record is from RefSeq and is a predicted model, not a curated record.